GACGAACGCUGGCGGCGUGCUUAACACAUGCAAGUCACGGGGGCCCGCAAGGGUAACCGGCGAACGGGUGCGUAACACGUGAACAAUCUGCCUAGAUGUGGGGGAUAGCCGGCCCAACGGCCGGGUAAUACCGCAUACGCUCUUCGGGUGGCAUCACUUGAAGAGGAAACCUCCGGGGCAUCUAGAGGAGUUCGCGGCCUAUCAGCUAGUUGGUGGGGUAACGGCCUACCAAGGCAAUGACGGGUAGCUGGUCUGAGAGGAUGGCCAGCCACAUUGGGACUGAGAUACGGCCCAGACUCCUACGGGAGGCAGCAGUGGGGAAUAUUGCGCAAUGGCCGAAAGGCUGACGCAGCGACGCCGCGUGGGGGAUGAAGCAUUUCGGUGUGUAAACCCCUGUUGCCCGGGACGAACAAGCGAUUUUGAUCGCUCUGACGGUACCGGGUGAGGAAGCACCGGCUAACUCCGUGCCAGCAGCCGCGGUAAUACGGAGGGUGCGAGCGUUGUCCGGAAUCACUGGGCGUAAAGGGCGCGUAGGCGGUCUGCUAAGCGUGUGGUGAAAGCUCGGGGCUCAACCCCGAGUCUGCCAUGCGAACUGGUGGACUAGAGCACUGUAGAGGCAGGUGGAAUUCCGGGUGUAGCGGUGGAAUGCGUAGAGAUCCGGAAGAACACCAGUGGCGUAGGCGGCCUGCUGGGCAGUAGCUGACGCUGAGGCGCGAUAGCGUGGGGAGCAAACAGG
This 736-nucleotide ribosomal RNA is filed under the name uncultured Gemmatimonas sp. RNAcentral's name for it is "bacterial SSU rRNA". It matches the Rfam family "Bacterial small subunit ribosomal RNA", at positions 28 to 776 of the family's 1533-position model. The record is from RNAcentral. Lineage: Bacteria; Pseudomonadati; Gemmatimonadota; Gemmatimonadia; Gemmatimonadales; Gemmatimonadaceae.